UGGAGCAUGUGGUUUAAUUCGAUGCAACGCGAAAAACCUUACCACUCCUUGACAUGGAAAUUAUACCUAUUCGAAGGGAUAGGGUCGGUUCGGCCGGGUUUCACACAGGUGUUGCAUGGCUGUCGUCAGCUCGUGUCGUGAGAUGUUGGGUUAAGUCCCGCAACGAGCGCAGCCCUCAUCCUUAGUUACCAUCAGGUAAUGCUGGGGACUUUAAGGAGACUGCCAGUGAUAAACUGGGGGAAGGUGGGGAUGAUGUCAAGUCAUCAUGGCCCUUAUGGAGUGGGCUACACACGUGCUACAAUGGUGGCUACAAUGGGCUGCAAAGUCGCGAGGCUAAGCCAAUCCCUUAAAAGCCAUCUCAGUUCGGAUUGUACUCUGCAACUCGAGUGCAUGAAGUUGGAAUCGCUAGUAAUCGUGGAUCAGCACGCCACGGUGAAUACGUUCUCGGGUCUUGUACACACUGCCCGUCACGCCAUGGGAAUUGGUUUCACUCGAAGCUAACGACCUAACCGCAAGGAGGGAGUUAUUUAAAGUGGGAUCGGUGACUGGGGUG
RNAcentral lists this ribosomal RNA (553 nucleotides) under uncultured bacterium. RNAcentral's name for it is "bacterial SSU rRNA". It matches the Rfam family "Bacterial small subunit ribosomal RNA", at positions 933 to 1482 of the family's 1533-position model. The record is from RNAcentral.